RNAcentral lists this ribosomal RNA (243 nucleotides) under uncultured bacterium. RNAcentral's name for it is "partial 16S ribosomal RNA". It matches the Rfam family "Bacterial small subunit ribosomal RNA", at positions 15 to 253 of the family's 1533-position model. The record is from RNAcentral.
GAUCCUGGCUCAGAUUGAACGCUGGCGGCAGGCCUAACACAUGCAAGUCUAACGGUAACAGAAAGCAGCUUGCUGCUUUGCUGACGAGUGGCGGACGGGUGAGUAAUGUCUGUGAAACUGCCCGAUGGAGGGGGAUAACUACUGGAAACGGUAGCUAAUACCGCAUAACGUCGCAAGACCAAAGAGGGGGGACCUUCGGGCCUCUUGCCAUCGGAUGUGCCCAGAUGGGAUUAGCUAGUAGGG